UUCUGCUUUGCUCAUCGAGACUCCUGGUGAUACCUCCCUAAUUUUAUUCCUGGGCCCUAUUGCCCAGGAGCAAAGAUCAAUUCCAGUAUCAAUCAAGGUCAUGUCCAAGGCUUGAAAUGUAAUGAAGAAUGAAAAUUGUGCAUUUUUCCCUCUGGUGCUUGCCUGCUGAGGGAGUUCCCAUGGUGGGUCAGUGGUAACAAACCUGACUAGUAUCCAUGGAGAAGCAGGUUCGAUCCCUGGCCUCACUCAGUGGGUUACCUAUCCACCGUUGCCAUGAGCUGUGGUGUAAAUCACUGAAGCAGCUCAGAUCCUGUGUGGCUAUGGCUGUGGCUGUGGCUGGCAGCUGCAGCUCCAAUUCCACCCCUGGCCUGGGAACACUCACACACUACAUGUGUGGCCCUAAAAAAAAAAAAAAUGUGCAGUCACCCCGCUUCCAUGAGGAGUUGCCCUCUGACCAGGCCACUGGGAGAUGCAGCACCUGCGAGGAGAUCCAUCCCUGAGCCGAAAAUAAACACUGCUGCUUCUUUGCAGUUACCAUUAGCCCAAGUACAGAAAUAAAUAAAUAAAUACAGGAAAUUAUAGUCUCAUUAAAUACAAGCAGGAUCAACUACAAUAAGGCACACUAAAUCGGUUAUACAAUUUAUAACUUCAUUUAAAAAGCAAAAUAAUUUGAAAUCACCAAUCACUUAAGUGAAGGCAGAAGCUAUGUGGUGGCCAGUACCUGAGCCAGUGAAUCAACAGAAGUCCCAGAUCUCAGGUUGUGACACAUGUGAUGCAUGAUGCUUCAUGAAGAUACAAAAUGAAAUUGCUAGGUUUUGAGGGGUCCCCUGGGUGCAUGAAAAAAACCAAUUCUUCUUCUGAAAGUCCUUUGAUUUAAAAAUAUGGUUAGGCUUUGAAAUAAUCUUAAGCCUUUAAUAUUAAUUAACAGAAGAGAAGUAUUUAUUAAAAUGUUUAUCAAAUAGUGAUAAACUGGAGCCUGGUUGAUUGAUGUCAGUAUUUGAUUUACCCUCAACUGAAGGUGCCAGACUAUUAAGCCUGUAUGCAUGAUAACAGUUUUGCCUUUGGUGGGUGAGAUAAAUAUCCAGGUUAGGCUUUGUAAAAUCUCAGGCUCUUGACAACUCACAGACUCCUAGACUUCUUGAGUUCCUGCCCUGUCACUCUUCACAGUUUUCUGUAAUAACAUUGUUGGGGAUAAGUUCCAGGACAUAGGUGAACCUAGAGUUCCAGUUUCAUGAUCACACCAGCCUUGGACUUGGUGAUGUUAUGGAGGUAGGUACACUGUUCAAGGAGCUGAGACAAAAGAAGCCAGCUUAGCCAAUGGCCAACUCAAAUUAGAAGUUCAAAAGUGGCCUCUUGGAAGCCAGCCUCUGAGAGGUGGGCAUCUCACCAGUUUGUGAGGUCCUUCAGAUCCAGCCACCACAAACAUGUCAGCAGCCUCUUGGUUACUUAGAAAACCCAGAGCUCACAGAGUCAACCUAAGUCCCUCCAGUCUGUUGUCAAUGAAUUUAUGCCACAUUACUUUAUAAAUUUGCAACUUUUGGAAGCCAGUGUACUUUGUUUUCUUUUCAACAAUAUGACGUUAUUUUUUCAUAUUAUAAAACUACUAUGUUCUCAUCAUAUUUAUGGGAAAUAAAGGGAAAAAAAUUACAUCUAUCCUCUCAAAACAACUAUGCUAAGAAUUAGACAUAUUUCAUCCCCCAUUUUUUUUCUCUAACCACUUUUAUUUUUCCAUAUUAUUAAUGAGCCGCUUGCUAUUUUGAAUGGGGAUUUUCUGCAGGCAAUGUGCUCUUCCUUUUUUCCUUCUUUCACCAGACAGCCAUUGGCUGGGCUCAGCCCUAAGAGGGCAGAGAUAGAAUGUUGGUGAACUUUAUUUGUAUUCAUCUGGUUGGAGCUCAGUUACAGCUGUCUAGGAUCAUAUUCUGUUCUUAUUUAUACUUUAAAAUCCCUUCUCUGAAUCGCGCCUUCUUUAUUUGGUAAACAAAUGGAAAUACAGCAAACUUUAUCUGUGUGUCUGUUUUGAAUCAGCUUGGAGUUUCUGAUGAGUGUGUCCCCUGCACACACUCAAAUUUCAAUGCACAUACAACAUUGUGUGUAUGUGAGAAAGAAGAAGUGGUGGGAAGUUGUGCAACGCCAGUGUUGUAAGUGGUGGACCUUAUUGACAUUGUCUCUGUGAGGAUGUGGGUUUGAUCCCUGGCCUGGCUCAGUGGGUUAAGGAUCCAGGACUGGCCCAAGCUGCAGCAUAGGUCUCAGAUGUGGUUCACAUCUGGUGUUGCUGUGGCUGUAGCAUAGGUCUCAGCUGCAGCUCCAAUUUGACUCCUGGCCUUGGAACUUCCAUAUGC
RNAcentral lists this long non-coding RNA (2339 nucleotides) under Sus scrofa (pig). Its description in RNAcentral is "lncRNA (ENSSSCG00060043429.1)". Lineage: Eukaryota; Metazoa; Chordata; Mammalia; Artiodactyla; Suidae. The record is from RNAcentral.